Molecule: ribosomal RNA, 305 nt
Filed under: uncultured bacterium
Lineage: Bacteria
Description: bacterial SSU rRNA
Rfam family: Bacterial small subunit ribosomal RNA
Source: RNAcentral
GCCUUCCUACGGGAGGCAGCAGUGAGGAAUAUUGGUCAAUGGCCGGGAGGCUGAACCAGCCAAGUCGCGUGAGGGAAGACGGCCCUACGGGUUGUAAACCUCUUUUGUCAGGGAGCAAGGUGCAGGUCGGGACCUGCUGUGAGAGUACCUGAAGAAAAAGCAUCGGCUAACUCCGUGCCAGCAGCCGCGGUAAUACGGAGGAUGCGAGCGUUAUCCGGAUUUAUCGGGUUUAAAGGGUGCGUAGGCGGGCUGUUAAGUCAGCGGUAAAAGCCCGGGGCUCAACCCCGGCGAGCCGUUGAAACUGG